Molecule: ribosomal RNA, 484 nt
Filed under: uncultured bacterium
Lineage: Bacteria
Description: partial 16S ribosomal RNA
Rfam family: Bacterial small subunit ribosomal RNA
Source: RNAcentral
AUUGAACGCUGGCGGCAGGCCUAACACAUGCAAGUCGAGCGGAUGAAGGGAGCUUGCUCCUGGCUUCAGCGGCGGACGGGUGAGUAAUGCCUAGGAAUCUGCCUGGUAGUGGGGGAUAACGUCCGGAAACGGGCGCUAAUACCGCAUACGUCCUGAGGGAGAAAGUGGGGGAUCUUCGGACCUCACGCUAUCAGAUGAGACUAGGUCGGAUUAGCUAGUUGGUGGGGUAAAGGCCUACCAAGGCGACGAUCCGUAACUGGUCUGAGAGGAUGAUCAGUCACACUGGAACUGAGACACGGUCCAGACUCCUACGGGAGGCAGCAGUGGGGAAUAUUGGACAAUGGGCGAAAGCCUGAUCCAGCCAUGCCGCGUGUGUGAAGAAGGUCUUCGGAUUGUAAAGCACUUUAAGUUGGGAGGAAGGGCAGUAAGUUAAUACCUUGCUGUUUUGACGUUACCAACAGAAUAAGCACCGGCUAACUUCGUG